RNAcentral lists this ribosomal RNA (535 nucleotides) under uncultured bacterium. Its description in RNAcentral is "bacterial SSU rRNA". It matches the Rfam family "Bacterial small subunit ribosomal RNA", at positions 973 to 1509 of the family's 1533-position model. The record is from RNAcentral.
CCUUGGCCUUGACAUCCACGGAAUUUGGCAGAGAUGCCUUAGUGCCUUCGGGAACCGUGAGACAGGUGCUGCAUGGCUGUCGUCAGCUCGUGUUGUGAAAUGUUGGGUUAAGUCCGCAACGAGCGCAACCCUUAUCCUUUGUUGCCAGCGAUUCGGUCGGGAACUCAAAGGAGACUGCCGGUGAUAAACCGGAGGAAGGUGGGGAUGACGUCAAGUCAUCAUGGCCCUUACGGCCAGGGCUACACACGUGCUACAAUGGCGCAUACAAAGAGAAGCGACCUCGCGAGAGCAAGCGGACCUCAUAAAGUGCGUCGUAGUCCGGAUUGGAGUCUGCAACUCGACUCCAUGAAGUCGGAAUCGCUAGUAAUCGUAGAUCAGAAUGCUACGGUGAAUACGUUCCCGGGCCUUGUACACACCGCCCGUCACACCAUGGGAGUGGGUUGCAAAAGAAGUAGGUAGCUUAACCUUCGGGAGGGCGCUUACCACUUUGUGAUUCAUGACCGGGGUGAAGUCGUAACAAGGUAGGCGUACUACA